ACUUAAAUUGAAGAGUUUGAUCAUGGCUCAGAUUGAACGCUGGCGGCAGGCCUAACACAUGCAAGUCGAACGGUAGCACAGAGAGCUUGCUCUCGGGUGACGAGUGGCGGACGGGUGAGUAAUGUCUGGGAAACUGCCCGAUGGAGGGGGAUAACUACUGGAAACGGUAGCUAAUACCGCAUAACGUCGCAAGACCAAAGUGGGGGACCUUCGGGCCUCACACCAUCGGAUGUGCCCAGAUGGGAUUAGCUAGUAGGUGGGGUAACGGCUCACCUAGGCGACGAUCCCUAGCUGGUCUGAGAGGAUGACCAGCCACACUGGAACUGAGACACGGUCCAGACUCCUACGGGAGGCAGCAGUGGGGAAUAUUGCACAAUGGGCGCAAGCCUGAUGCAGCCAUGCCGCGUGUAUGAAGAAGGCCUUCGGGUUGUAAAGUACUUUCAGCGAGGAGGAAGGCGUUGUGGUUAAUAACCACAGCGAUUGACGUUACUCGCAGAAGAAGCACCGGCUAACUCCGUGCCAGCAGCCGCGGUAAUACGGAGGGUGCAAGCGUUAAUCGGAAUUACUGGGCGUAAAGCGCACGCAGGCGGUUUGUUAAGUCAGAUGUGAAAUCCCCGGGCUCAACCUGGGAACUGCAUUUGAAACUGGCAAGCUUGAGUCUCGUAGAGGGGGGUAGAAUUCC
This 682-nucleotide ribosomal RNA is filed under the name Salmonella enterica. RNAcentral describes it as "bacterial SSU rRNA". It matches the Rfam family "Bacterial small subunit ribosomal RNA", at positions 1 to 670 of the family's 1533-position model. The record is from RNAcentral. RNAcentral also lists the same sequence under 2 other names. Lineage: Bacteria; Pseudomonadati; Pseudomonadota; Gammaproteobacteria; Enterobacterales; Enterobacteriaceae.